This is a long non-coding RNA of Folsomia candida, 1465 nucleotides long. RefSeq lists it as uncharacterized. The transcript is spliced from 6 exons. NCBI's taxonomy places the organism in Eukaryota, Metazoa, Arthropoda, Collembola, Entomobryomorpha, Isotomidae. The record is from RefSeq and is a predicted model, not a curated record.
GUUUGAACUCUGUUUCCUCCCUGGAAAAUAGCCGAUUCUCUGUCUCCGUCCCAUUUUCAAGGGUUGGGAGCGAGUUAUAUUUGGGCGACGGGUCCCACGCGUAAUAAUCGGAUGCGACGAUUAACCAGGUUCCGUACAGGGCCGGUGUAAGUCCUGGUCUUGAGGUCGGGACGGACUAAUUCUAAGCCGGAUUCGGCCUCGUUGCUGUCGAGUUUUGCGGAAUUUUCCUGUGUAAAAUCGUAUAUUUGUAUAGAUCCAUAAUUGCAAAAUAUGAGGCAUUUAAUUGAGUUUCUUUAUUAACCUUUUCGGCAUCUUCUCUCGAUUUUCUACGCAACCUGAGAAAAGUUGGGAAAGGAUUAAUUUGUCAUAUUGGGAUGAAUGUGAAUAGGACCAGUGCCAAAAAGAGGAGGAACAUGCAGAACACCAUCCAGAUAUCUAUAAAUCCAUUUUAAACAUGUAUAUUAUUGUAAUUGGUUGAUUUUGUAAUGAAGCCUUAAUUUGUUUUUCAUGCAGAUUGAAGAUAACUUUUACAAAAUUGUGAAGGUACAUAUUUAUACAGACCUAUUGCCAUUGUGUAUGAAACCUGAGGUGAUUGUUCCCUGUAAGAAGAGAAUUAUGAAAUGACAAAAUAUUUAUGGAAAACUAUAAAAUUCUUACCGUACUGCACCGAACAUUGCGGUCAACGUGAGUAGCUAGGAUUUAAAAUACCAAUUCGAACUUCCACCAUAUCCGGUGGAAGUAGGAAGCAGAGCCAAGUGAUUAAAAUGAGUAAAAUGGAAGGAAGGCAGGUCUGUACAAAGUGAUAGUUGAUAUUUCUUCUCAUUUGGAGAUUGAAAGACAGGGUGGAAUAAUUUCGGUCUGAAAUGCGUGAAAAUUGUUACGUAAAUUUUGUAAUAUAACUUUGCAAUUCUUACGUUGACAGCAGGGUGCUUGCGACUUUGUAAACAUUUCAUAAAGCCGUCCUCCCGGUUCGACAUCGGAAACUUGGAAAUCAUAAUUGGAAUCUUCUGUCUGGUCGAGAAACACACUUUGAGAUGGAUUCCACAGAACAAAUAGUUGUUCUUGGGUGUAUGAAUCUGUUGAAAUUAGGAGCAAAUGCAUUAAGGCACACUUGAAUGUCUGCCGGAUAAUAUUCAAAAUUCAUAUCGCACCGCACUUUGAACGUUUGUCUCGCCUCGAACGUUAUGGCACCAGGCAUCACCGGAUUUUUAACGAGGAAACGAAGAUUUACCAGCUUGGUGAGGAUGGAUGUGCUUUCGACGGAUUCCAUCUCCUCUGGGAAAGUAAAAUUCAGUUGAAAAAUUUGUGUCGUUGACAAAUCUUAAAUUUGUUUGAGAAACUCUGCGUCGAGCGUGAUCUCUUCAGGUCCAUCAGCCGCCUUUUUCUGAGCUUCUUCAUCUUCAAUAAAAAACUUCCAAACUUCCCAAUCUAUCCAAGUGAUCCCGAGCUCGGUGUCAAGCUCAAU